Molecule: long non-coding RNA, 378 nt
Filed under: Gallus gallus (chicken)
Lineage: Eukaryota; Metazoa; Chordata; Aves; Galliformes; Phasianidae
Source: RNAcentral
CAACAAGUUAAGUAUUCAUGGCAUCAAAAUACCUGUAACUGUGAUACUGCCAGUUGAAAAAAUCUGUAAGGUAGCUCUGAGAGUUUUUAUUCUGUAGCACACAGCAGGAUGAAGUUCUGGUUCGUAACUAGCAUGAGGUCUGUUAUUCUUCGUAAAUUCUGGCAAUCUGAUCUCAAAGGGCAUGUUGCACACUGCUAAAACAUUCACAACUUUAAAAUCUGUGAAAAUUACCUGAAAACCUAGUUUCUGUAGACAACGAGCUAAUCGUCUGGCACCAAAUUUAGCUUCUUCUUCACUUGUGGCUCCUGUGCAAAUAACUUUUCCUGAGGACCAAAUUGUGGCUGUAAUCCUAGGUUUUCUAAGUUUCAUUAAUACUUU